Molecule: long non-coding RNA, 3035 nt
Filed under: Homo sapiens (human)
Lineage: Eukaryota; Metazoa; Chordata; Mammalia; Primates; Hominidae
Description: HSALNT0359613
Source: RNAcentral
UGGGGAAAAAGGGUGUUUAUUAACCAACGGCAGGGGGAGGAGCUGAGCCCAGGCUCCCCACUCUGUCACAUGCCUGUUCCACCCACCUGGUUGUAAGUGGGGGCAUUCCUAAAGAAGUGUAGCCAUUCUCACAAUAAAUACAUUCAUUGUGGGGUGGAGGUGGGAGAGAUGACUAGAUUUUCCACAGACUGGGACUCCCUGAACACUUGUGUCUCUUCAAUAAUGUGCAUCCCAGAGCCCAGGACUACGGCCUUGUGGAUCCAGCCAUCAGCUGGUAUGGAAAGAGCAGAGAGUUAGACCCCAACUAUGGGAUCUGCUCUCAGCACCCUGCAAGAGGCCUAAUACGAACAGCUCAGGAGUCCUGAGGUCCAGAACAAGGACUCAGCCAGGAGCAGUGGACCCUCAGGACACUGGGAACUCCAGACUAGUCAUGGCAGGAAUUAAUGGAUUCAGAAGCAUUAGUGAUCAGGGCCAACAGGGAUCAGGGAUUGGGAUCAGAAGCACCUGUGCCCAGAAAGAGCAGGUCAUAGGUAGGUCCAGCAGGCGUGGUGACAGGUGUCCCUGUAAGGUGUGUGUAGCGUAUGUUGCGCUUGAGCAGCAGGGGCCGUCCACGUGUGGGCACAACGGGCCGAGCCAUCAGUGGGUGCAACUUUACAAAGUCCAGGACCAGGGAUGGCAAGUCUUGGGAUGAAUUGUAGCCUUGGCUGCGCAAUGAAUCUGUGAUACACUGGCGUGGGGGACGAAGGUGGUGAACCUCGGGACUCCACCACCUGCCUGCCCUCUCCACAAGGCCAGACCCUUUGACCCUUCCCUGGGCUCUGUCUACUCAGCACUGGCCCCAGGCCUGGGCACUCACCGAGCCAGGCCGGGGCUCAGGCACCCCACCCUCAUAGCGACCCCAGCGCCGGGAACCAUCCUGGUAUUCCAUAUAGGGUCCUGCAAAGACAGCCUGGAUCUCUGCCAGGUCAUAGCGGCAGAUGGCUGAGGCCUCCAGGGUCUUCCUAGAAUGGGACAUAGGGCAAGGGGGGUGAGUUACAUGGAGUCAAGCCUGCCCCCCAACUCGUGCUCAGCCUGAAGCUCACUGUUACCCUGGCCAACCCCAGCUAUAGUCCCACAGGGCCUCUCCUGUGAGUCAGUGGACCACUGCAUUCAUUCUCUGGCUCUAGCCUAGCUUGAUGUGCUUAAAAUUCUCACUUUGCCAGCACUUUGAGAGGCCGAGGCGAGCAGAUCACGAGGUCAAGAGAUCGAGACCAUCCUGGGCAACACAGUGAAACCCCAUCUCUAUUAAAAAUACAAAAAUUAGCCAGGCGUGGUGGCACACGCCUAUAGUCCCAGCUACUCGGGAGGCCGAGGCAGGAUAAUCACUUGAACCCGGGAGGCGGAGAUUGCAGUGAGCCGAGAUCGCGCCACUGCACUCCAGCCUGGCAACAGAGCAAGACUCCCUCUUAAAAAAAAAAAAAAAUUCUCACUUUGCAGCCAGACCUCCCCACAGUGGAUCCUAUCUCAUCCUCAUUGACCUCUGCUCCAGCCCCUAUGCUGUCCGCAGUUUCUUGCCUCCCGAUUGUCCCUGCACUGACCACUGUGUGCUCAGCGUGAAGGCUGCAUAGAAGUGUGUACGGCUUGAGGUUUCAGCAUCCAGGCUGCAGACCCCACGCAGUGUCUCAUACAGUGGAAUGUGGCAGAUGAGACGGGCUUUCAGGAAGGAAGUCCACUUCUUCUGCAGGAUCUUCUUCCCUCCCAGGUCUCCCUGGGGAGGUAGAGGCACGGGAUAAGGGGCCAGGGUCAGAGGUCCAGCCUCUAUACCCGUGCCCCAACGUCAGCCCAAUCCACCUUGCAGACACGAGCCACACGGGCCACACGGUGACUGCUGCGGCUCUGAGUGAAGCUGCCAGAGCCCUCCUCAGUGGCACGCUCCGUGAAGAAGUAGUACACCUUGUCAUCAUCACCCACUGCACUGGCCUUGCUCUCCCGCACGAGGACGGAGAACACAAACUCCGCAUCUGUGGGUCAGGCAGUUUGAGAGGCUUUUGAGACAGGCUGGGGAUUCCUUUCCCUCACUCUGAGGCUGACCCCUCACUUGACAACACACAGGAAUGGAAUGGACAGGCUCACCUGGGGAUUUGGGGGUGGGGUGGUCAGCUGGCCAAGGGAGUAAAAAUGAAGAAAUAGUCCCCUACCCCCCAUCAUCCUGUGCCUCAUCCUCCUAACCAUUGAGCCAAUGCAUUGGUGUCUCCUCAGUUCUCAGGGAGUGUGGGUGGCGGCUCCGGCGGAUGUCAGGAAUGCUCCGGAAUUCAUACCUAGUGGCUGUGUAGAGGCCUCCAUCUGGCGUGGGGAUAUUCCAGGCAUGAGAGACAUGUCAUAUUCAACAGGGCACAUGACAUAUACAUGGUGGCAGGUCCUAGAGAUGAGAUCCACAUCCUAAAAAUACCAUGUCUGUGAUAGGGAAGAAGGCCUGCUCACCAAUGAUGAGGCCUGUGAAGCCACGGGCUGGGUCAUAAGGACACUUCUCCUUCCCCUCCUCGAAGCUGGUUGGCAAGGUGAAGGCCUCAGCAUCCUAGGGAACAAGGAACCAGCAGUAAGUGGUUCCGAAGACAGGCAGGGACAGUGGCUCAAAGUCAGAUCAGUCUGGGGUCAGGGAUCAGCGAUCAGGGAUAGGGGCAGGUUGUAUGGCAGAUGCACCUGACAGCAAUAACUUAAGCAUCCCCUGAGAAUGACCUUAUGGCCUCAAAACAAUGUAUGUUUGGAGUUCCAAAUCUGCAAGUGGCCAACCUAGAGAUUCACUCCUUAUCUAUGAAGAACAUCUGAGCCCCUAGCCCAUCCUGUGGAACACAUGCUGUCCAGGGGAUCAAGGCCCUUUGUUUUGGGUUAAAUGAAGUUUGCCAGGUGGAGGUGAUUAGGGGGAGGAUGCUAAGUGAAAAUGCUAUAAAAACUGCAUGGUUUUUACAAAGGGGAAUGGUUCUCCAGUGCAGCCCGCCGCCACUGGAGUGCCCUGUAUGGAAGUCCCCUUAAUAAACCAUCCGUCUCCUUCACUGGCU